Non-coding RNA from Henosepilachna vigintioctopunctata, 75 nucleotides. The record is from the annotation of a GenBank genome assembly. Lineage: Eukaryota; Metazoa; Arthropoda; Insecta; Coleoptera; Coccinellidae.
UCCUCGGUAGCUUAGUGGUUAUAGCAUCAGGGUGUAAACCUGAAAGACCUGGGUUCGUAUCCUAGUCGAGGUCAA